GCCUGGGUGGCUCAUUUGGUUGAGCGUCUGACUUCGGCUCAGAUCGUGAUCUCACAGUUUAUGGAUUCAAGCCCCACAUCAGGCU
Molecule: transfer RNA, 85 nt
Organism: Felis catus (domestic cat)
Lineage: Eukaryota; Metazoa; Chordata; Mammalia; Carnivora; Felidae
Rfam family: tRNA
About the family: Transfer RNA (tRNA) molecules are approximately 80 nucleotides in length. Their secondary structure includes four short double-helical elements and three loops (D, anti-codon, and T loops). Further hydrogen bonds mediate the characteristic L-shaped molecular structure. tRNAs have two regions of fundamental functional importance: the anti-codon, which is responsible for specific mRNA codon recognition, and the 3' end, to which the tRNAs corresponding amino acid is attached (by aminoacyl-tRNA synthetases). tRNAs cope with the degeneracy of the genetic code in two manners: having more than one tRNA (with a specific anti-codon) for a particular amino acid; and 'wobble' base-pairing, i.e. permitting non-standard base-pairing at the 3rd anti-codon position.
Source: Rfam